GAUGAAGAACGUAGCGAAAUGCGAUAAGUAGUGUGAAUUGCAGAAUUCAGUGAAUCAUCGAAUCUUUGAACGCACAUUGCGCCCUUUGGUAUUCCUUAGGGCAUGCCUGUUCGAGCGUCAUUUAAACCUUCAAGCUCAGCUUGGUGUUGGGUGACUGUCCGCUUCACCGCGGACUCGCCUCAAAAUUAUUGGCGGCCGGUACAUUGGCUUCGAGCGCAGCAGAAACGCGAACUCGGGCCCGUCGUAUUGGCUCCCAGAAGCUAUCUUCACAAUUUUGACCUCGGAUCAGGUAGGGAUAACCGCUGAACUUAAGCAUAUCAAUAAGCGGAGGA
This 332-nucleotide unclassified non-coding RNA is filed under the name soil metagenome. RNAcentral describes it as "partial contains 5.8S ribosomal RNA, internal transcribed spacer 2, and large subunit ribosomal RNA". The stretch from base 1 to 120 matches the Rfam family "5.8S ribosomal RNA", at positions 35 to 154 of the family's 154-position model. The record is from RNAcentral.